AUUGAACGCUGGCGGCAGGCCUAACACAUGCAAGUCGAACGGUAGAGCGAAGCUUGCUUCUCUUGAGAGCGGGGGACGGGUGAGUAAUGCCUAGGAAUAUCCCUGGCUGUGGGGGAUAACGGUCUGACGCGGACGCUCAUACCCCAUAAGUCCAACGGGAGAAAGCAGGGGAGCUUCGGACCUUGCGCUCUCAGAUGAGCCUAGGUCGGAUUAGCUAGUUGGUGGGGUAAUGGCUCACCAAGGCGACGAUCCGUAGCUGGUCUGAGAGGAUGAGCAGUCACACUGGAACUGAGACACGGUCCAGACUCCUACGGGAGGCAGCAGUGGGGAAUAUUGGACAAUGGGCGAAAGCCUGAUCCAGCCAUGCCGCGUGUGUGAAGAAGGUCUUCGGGUUGUAAAGCACUUUAAGUGGGGAGGAAGGGCAGUAAAUUAAUACUUUGCUGUUUUGACGGUACCGACAGAAUAAGCACCGGCUAACUCCGUG
RNAcentral lists this ribosomal RNA (484 nucleotides) under uncultured bacterium. RNAcentral's name for it is "partial 16S ribosomal RNA". It matches the Rfam family "Bacterial small subunit ribosomal RNA", at positions 30 to 507 of the family's 1533-position model. The record is from RNAcentral.